This is a long non-coding RNA of Cyprinus carpio (common carp), 921 nucleotides long. NCBI's taxonomy places the organism in Eukaryota, Metazoa, Chordata, Actinopteri, Cypriniformes, Cyprinidae. The record is from Ensembl.
AGAAGAUUGACAUGGUACAUGGUACACGCGCACGGUCCAAAAAGAGUGCGCGUCGUAUCCAUAACAACGGAGUUGUUGCCUACUAUUCUUCUACACACUCAAAGGUAUGUAUAAGUAGGCGAAUUGGGACGCAGCAAAACACAAAGUGUCUCUCGUGCGCUGCUUCAAACAUGGAGCUUGCACCAGCAUCCUACUACGGACCCCUGGAUAAAAACAACCUCGUCCUGUCAGCUUUUCAAAGUGCAUUAAACUGUUUGAGACAUGGAAUAAGUAUAAAUCUCGCCUUCCUCCCUCUUAUUUCGAAAAGCACCUGUUGCAAACAGCAGAUUUCCUCCUUGACUCAAAGGUUUUGGUGAUUCUGAUCACACUUUUGAUGAGAGCCUGCCUCCCUCCUUAAAUCCUUCCUCCUCUCUCUUUGACACAGCUGUUGCUGGGGAGUGCUUGCAUUUAAUUUGCCACUUAUUUUCCUUUACUCUUAUUUGGGUUUAUGUGUUAUAAAGGGUCUUUGUUUUGUGUCUCUCAGGAAAGAGUAAGAUUGCAGUAGAUGCUGUGAAUUUUGUGAAGCAGCUCUUCAGAUAUGAACAGUGGAGCAUGUUCAACUCGCUCUCUAUGGCACUUACGUCAGCACUAGAUGUGAGUGCAUCUGUGAUAUGGCUUAAAAUGUCAGCCAGACUGCUAUCUAGUUCUUUUUUCUUGUAGUGUUCACAGAACGUGGAAGGCUGCGCAUUUAGGAAGUAUGAGCUUGAACUGAGGACUUUGGAGGCUGUGGAGCAUUUGAUGUCCACGCAAAGAGUUAAAUGAAAGAAUUUUCAUUUCGGUCCAUCCCUACAAACUAUCCGAUUCCUGGUCAGGUCAGAAAGACAUGCAAUCUUUCACCAUAUUAGUGAAACAUAUUUUCAUGCAUGUCACUGAAUAUGUUGU